UGUCUGCAAGUCCAGAUUUACAUGAUACUGAUAAUGACGCCAUUGUGUCUGCCUGUAAGACAUAUUACGAGACAGCACGCAGGAGCUUCAGGUAGAAACAACCAGAUCUGGCAUCGUGGGCAGAAGCUGUGAAGAGUUCAGCUCGGAGUCGGUCAAGAAGAAAAGAGGCUGCUGGAAGCGAGACAGAGUGUGCUGGCUGCGGGUGAGGUGGACAUUUGUAAGUGCGCCACCAUAGACCUGAUGAUCCGAAAUACAGGGCAAAGCAUCACAGACGCCUGAAAAAUGGACCGAAUUCAGACAGAAUGCCAUCAGUUACCUACAGCUCCAAGGCGGCCGUGGUUUAGGGGUUGACGGUGCUGUAUGAUUUGGCUUCUCAUGUGCGUGGGAUAUUUGUUGUGUGUGCUGUGUGUCUCCUAUGCUUUGUACAUAGUUUUUUUUCUGAUUGCGUUUGUGUUUUGUGUUAAUAAAGCUCUACCUUUGAACAGAGCCGGAUUAACCAUUAGGGCAACUGGUCACGUGCCCAGGGGCACAGGACAUCUAAGGGGCCCUGGGCUCCGGCAAAUAUUAUGUUAGAUCACAUUAUAAACGCAGUCCUCACUUUCCUAAUUAUAUGCGGAUUUUUGCAACCCGUUCCAUCAAAAUAUUAUGUUAAAUUGCGUCAAAAACAGUGUCUGUAGCUUCCUCCAUAGCGAGCGACAAGAGAACGAGCUGUCACAGACGGUGGUAAAGUUUGUUUUAUAUUGGAAGGUCAAGCUGGAUAAUAGAUUUUUCGAAUGUGUCGAAUAUCCAACGUCCAAUAUAAAACCAACUUUACCACGGUCUGUCACAGCGAGUUGGCUGCGGUGUGUUGGCAAUGCAUCACGGCAAAGACUGGAGCGAUUGAGCUGCACCCCGAGCCUAUGAAAGUGAAGUCAGUUUCCCCAGGGGAAGUUUAAACACACAUUUAAAGGUGCAAUAUGUAAUAUUGUGUGUAAUACUGGCAGCUAGCGGUUAAA
This is a long non-coding RNA of Perca fluviatilis (European perch), 995 nucleotides long. RefSeq lists it as uncharacterized. The transcript is spliced from 3 exons. Lineage: Eukaryota; Metazoa; Chordata; Actinopteri; Perciformes; Percidae. The record is from RefSeq and is a predicted model, not a curated record.